Molecule: ribosomal RNA, 419 nt
Filed under: uncultured bacterium
Lineage: Bacteria
Description: bacterial SSU rRNA
Rfam family: Bacterial small subunit ribosomal RNA
Source: RNAcentral
AUAUUGGACAAUGGGGGCAACCCUGAUCCAGCGAUGCCGCGUGUGUGAAGAAGGCCUUCGGGUUGUAAAGCACCUUCGGUGGGGACAAACAAGGUGGCGCUAACAUCGCCGCCUCUGAUGGUACCCAAAGAAGAAGCACCGGCUAACUCCGUGCCAGCAGCCGCGGUAAUACGGAGGGUGCGAGCGUUGUCCGGAAUCACUGGGCGUAAAGGGCGCGUAGGCGGCCGGGUAAGUAGGGGGUGAAAUCCCACAGCUCAACUGUGGGGCUGCCCUCUAGACUGCUUGGCUCGAGCACGGUAGAGGCUGGUGGAAUUCCCGGUGUAGCGGUGGAAUGCGUAGAGAUCGGGAAGAACAUCGGUGGCGAAGGCGGCCAGCUGGGCCGUUGCUGACGCUGAGGCGCGAAAGCGUGGGGAGCAAAC